This 72-nucleotide transfer RNA is filed under the name Propionibacteriaceae bacterium. RNAcentral describes it as "tRNA-Cys". It matches the Rfam family "tRNA". Rfam says of the family: Transfer RNA (tRNA) molecules are approximately 80 nucleotides in length. Lineage: Bacteria; Bacillati; Actinomycetota; Actinomycetes; Propionibacteriales; Propionibacteriaceae. The record is from RNAcentral.
GCUGGAGUGGCCGAGUGGUCGAGGCACAGGCCUGCAAAGCCUGACACGCGGGUUCGAAUCCCGUCUCCAGCU